CUACGAAGGAAGUUGACGGGCCCCGGCACAAGCAGCGGAGCGUGUGGUUUAAUUCGUACGCAACGCGAAGAACCUUACCUGGGUUUGACAUCUUGGGAAUCUUUUAGAAUAAGAGAGUGCCCCGCAAGGGGAGCCCGAAGACAGGUGCUGCAUGGCUGUCGUCAGCUCGUGUCGUGAGAUGUCGGGUUAAGUCCCGCAACGAGCGCAACCCUUAUCUUCAGUUACCAUCAUUUGGUUGGGGACUCUGGAGAUACUGCCCCGGUUAACGGGGAGGAAGGUGGGGAUGACGUCAAGUCCUCAUGGCCUUUAUAUCCAGGGCUACACACGUGCUACAAUGGUCCGUACAAAGGGUUGCAAGCCUGCGAGGGUGAGCUAAUCCCGAAAAGCGGAUCUCAGUUCGGAUUGGAGUCUGCAACUCGACUCCAUGAAGUUGGAAUCGCUAGUAAUCGUGGAUCAGCAUGCCACGGUGAAUACGUUCCCGGGCCUU
This 487-nucleotide ribosomal RNA is filed under the name uncultured Desulfobacterium sp. RNAcentral describes it as "bacterial SSU rRNA". It matches the Rfam family "Bacterial small subunit ribosomal RNA", at positions 903 to 1382 of the family's 1533-position model. The record is from RNAcentral. Lineage: Bacteria; Pseudomonadati; Thermodesulfobacteriota; Desulfobacteria; Desulfobacterales; Desulfobacteriaceae.